AGUGAACGCUGGCGGCAGGCCUAAUACAUGCAAGUCGAACGGCAGCACAGCAGAGCUUGCUCUGUGGGUGGCGAGUGGCGGACGGGUGAGGAAUACGUGGGAAUCUGCCCAGUCGUGGGGGGAUAACGUAGGGAAACUUACGCUAAUACCGCAUGCGCCCUUCGGGGAAAGGCCGGGGACCGUUCGGGCCUGGCGCGAUUGGAUGAGCCCACGUCGGAUUAGCUAGUUGGCGGGGUAAAGGCCCACCAAGGCGACGAUCCGUAGCUGGUCUGAGAGGAUGAUCAGCCACACUGGAACUGAGACACGGUCCAGACUCCUACGGGAGGCAGCAGUAGGGAAUAUUGGACAAUGGGCGCAAGCCUGAUCCAGCCAUGCCGCGUGAGUGAAGAAGGCCC
This 395-nucleotide ribosomal RNA is filed under the name uncultured bacterium. Its description in RNAcentral is "bacterial SSU rRNA". It matches the Rfam family "Bacterial small subunit ribosomal RNA", at positions 30 to 417 of the family's 1533-position model. The record is from RNAcentral.